GGGGAAUUUUCCGCAAUGGGCGAAAGCCUGACGGAGCAACGCCGCGUGAGGGAGGAAGGUCUUUGGAUUGUAAACCUCUUUUCUCAAGGAAGAAGUUCUGACGGUACUUGAGGAAUCAGCCUCGGCUAACUCCGUGCCAGCAGCCGCGGUAAUACGGGGGAGGCAAGCGUUAUCCGGAAUUAUUGGGCGUAAAGCGUCCGCAGGUGGUCAGCCAAGUCUGCUGUCAAAUCAGGUUGCUUAACGACCUAAAGGCGGUGGAAACUGGCAGGCUAGAGAGCAGUAGGGGUAGCAGGAAUUCCCAGUGUAGCGGUGAAAUGCGUAGAGAUUGGGAAGAACAUCGGUGGCGAAAGCGUGCUACUGGGCUGUAUCUGACACUCAGGGACGAAAGCUAGGGGAGCGAAAGGGAUUAGAUACCCCAGUAGUC
RNAcentral lists this ribosomal RNA (424 nucleotides) under uncultured cyanobacterium. Its description in RNAcentral is "bacterial SSU rRNA". It matches the Rfam family "Bacterial small subunit ribosomal RNA", at positions 356 to 795 of the family's 1533-position model. The record is from RNAcentral. Lineage: Bacteria; Bacillati; Cyanobacteriota.